Molecule: long non-coding RNA, 321 nt
Organism: Phyllostomus hastatus (greater spear-nosed bat)
Lineage: Eukaryota; Metazoa; Chordata; Mammalia; Chiroptera; Phyllostomidae
Exons: 3
Source: RefSeq, a predicted model, not a curated record
UACGGUACCCCGGACUGGGCAAAGGAAAGAAGGAAGGACUGUGCAUUUAAAGGAAUGAAAUGCUAUGCCUGGCAGCUGCUACACCCUCUCAGCCAGCUGAAUUACCAUACUCCUUCAUUUGGAGCACACUUAAAAAAGUUGCUAUUAAGAACAAUGCAUUGUCAACUGACAAAUUCAUAAAUUAGAGAUAUAGGAAUCUUUUUUAGAGUUUUUCCAUACACUAUGCAAAGAAGCUAAUGGUGCACGCUGUCAGAAAAGAAGUAACACUACGGAUACUACUAAUACAGCCUUUAAUCAGUAUCACACCUUCCCCCCAUAUGA